Molecule: ribosomal RNA, 427 nt
Filed under: uncultured bacterium
Lineage: Bacteria
Description: partial 16S ribosomal RNA
Rfam family: Bacterial small subunit ribosomal RNA
Source: RNAcentral
UGGGGAAUAUUGCACAAUGGGCGCAAGCCUGAUGCAGCCAUGCCGCGUGUAUGAAGAAGGCCUUCGGGUUGUAAAGUACUUUCAGCGGGGAGGAAGGGAGUAAAGUUAAUACCUUUGCUCAUUGACGUUACCCGCAGAAGAAGCACCGGCUAACUCCGUGCCAGCAGCCGCGGUAAUACGGAGGGUGCAAGCGUUAAUCGGAAUUACUGGGCGUAAAGCGCACGCAGGCGGUUUGUUAAGUCAGAUGUGAAAUCCCCGGGCUCAACCUGGGAACUGCAUCUGAUACGGGCAAGCUGGAGUCUCGUAGAGGGGGGUAGAAUUCCAGGUGUAGCGGUGAAAUGCGUAGAGAUCUGGAGGAAUACCGGUGGCGAAGGCGGCCCCCUGGACGAAGACUGACGCUCAGGUGCGAAAGCGUGGGGAGCAAACA